RNAcentral lists this ribosomal RNA (253 nucleotides) under uncultured bacterium. RNAcentral's name for it is "partial 16S ribosomal RNA". It matches the Rfam family "Bacterial small subunit ribosomal RNA", at positions 524 to 776 of the family's 1533-position model. The record is from RNAcentral.
UACGGAGGAUCCGAGCGUUAUCCGGAUUUAUUGGGUUUAAAGGGUGCGUAGGCGGUUUGAUAAGUUAGAGGUGAAAUGUCGGGGCUCAACCCCGAAACUGCCUCUAAUACUGUUGGACUAGAGAAUAGUUGCGGUAGGCGGAAUGUAUGGUGCAGCGGUGAAAUGCUUAGAGAUCAUACAGAACACCGAUUGCGAAGGCAGCUUACCAAACUAUAUCUGACGUUGAGGCACGAAAGCGUGGGUAGCAAACAGG